RNAcentral lists this ribosomal RNA (780 nucleotides) under uncultured soil bacterium. Its description in RNAcentral is "bacterial SSU rRNA". It matches the Rfam family "Bacterial small subunit ribosomal RNA", at positions 8 to 785 of the family's 1533-position model. The record is from RNAcentral.
AGAGUUUGAUCCUGGCUCAGAUUGAACGCUGGCGGCAUGCUUUACACAUGCAAGUCGAACGGCAGCGCGGGGCAACCUGGCGGCGAGUGGCGAACGGGUGAGUAAUAUAUCGGAACGUACCCAGAAGUGGGGGAUAACGUAGCGAAAGUUACGCUAAUACCGCAUACGAUCUACGGAUGAAAGUGGGGGACCUUCGGGCCUCAUGCUUGUGGAGCGGCCGAUAUCUGAUUAGCUAGUUGGUAGGGUAAAGGCCUACCAAGGCGACGAUCAGUAGCUGGUCUGAGAGGACGACCAGCCACACUGGGACUGAGACACGGCCCAGACUCCUACGGGAGGCAGCAGUGGGGAAUUUUGGACAAUGGGCGCAAGCCUGAUCCAGCAAUGCCGCGUGAGUGAAGAAGGCCUUCGGGUUGUAAAGCUCUUUUGUCAGGGAAGAAACGGCUGCGGCUAAUAUCUGCGGCUAAUGACGGUACCUGAAGAAUAAGCACCGGCUAACUACGUGCCAGCAGCCGCGGUAAUACGUAGGGUGCAAGCGUUAAUCGGAAUUACUGGGCGUAAAGCGUGCGCAGGCGGUUUUGUAAGUCUGUCGUGAAAUCCCCGGGCUCAACCUGGGAAUUGCGAUGGAGACUGCAAGGCUAGAAUCUGGCAGAGGGGGGUAGAAUUCCACGUGUAGCAGUGAAAUGCGUAGAGAUGUGGAGGAACACCGAUGGCGAAGGCAGCCCCCUGGGUCAAGAUUGACGCUCAUGCACGAAAGCGUGGGGAGCAAACAGGAUUAGAUAC